This 701-nucleotide ribosomal RNA is filed under the name uncultured Pezizaceae. Its description in RNAcentral is "eukaryotic LSU rRNA". The stretch from base 182 to 335 matches the Rfam family "5.8S ribosomal RNA". The record is from RNAcentral. Lineage: Eukaryota; Fungi; Ascomycota; Pezizomycetes; Pezizales; Pezizaceae.
AUUACCGAGUUAGGGUCUUCUAGGCCCGACCUCCAACCCUUUGUUUAUUAUACCACGUUGCUUUGGUAGGCCCGCCUUUCGGGGCCGCUGGGGACUUUUAUGCCUCUAGUCAGUGCCUGCCAGUAGCCUUCUUAAAUCCUUUUUAUAACUAUGUCGUCUGAGUAUAAUUAUAAAUCGUUAAAACUUUCAACAACGGAUCUCUUGGUUCUGGCAUCGAUGAAGAACGCAGCGAAAUGCGAUAAGUAAUGCGAAUUGCAGAAUUCAGUGAGUCAUCGAAUCUUUGAACGCAUAUUGCGCCCUUUGGCAUUCCGAAGGGCAUGUCUGUUCGAGCGUCAUUAUCAACCAUCAAGCCUGGCUUGUCGUUGGACCUCUUUUUUUGCGGCUGAAAUAUGCUGCAGGUCCGAAAGAUAAUGACGGUGUCGUGUUUGACCCUAGAUGCAACGAGCUUUUUAUAGCACGCAUUGAAGUGGUCGGCCGACCCGGUCUUAAACCCCCAUUAUUUUCUAAGGUUGACCUCGGAUCAGAUAGGAAUACCCGCUGAACUUAAGCAUAUCAAUAAGCGGAGGAAAAGAAACCAACAGGGAUUACCCUAGUAACGGCGAGUGAAGCGGUAACAGCUCAAAUUUGAAAUCUGACCUUCACGGGUUCGAGUUGUAAUUUGUAGAGGGUAUUUCGGAUAGGGCUUUGGUUUAAGUUUCUUG